AGUCCGUAGGCUUCACUCUCCAUACGUC
This 28-nucleotide non-coding RNA is filed under the name Rattus norvegicus (Norway rat). Lineage: Eukaryota; Metazoa; Chordata; Mammalia; Rodentia; Muridae. The record is from RNAcentral.